Molecule: RNA transcript, 2384 nt
Organism: Melopsittacus undulatus (budgerigar)
Lineage: Eukaryota; Metazoa; Chordata; Aves; Psittaciformes; Psittaculidae
Exons: 13
Source: RefSeq, a predicted model, not a curated record
GCCUCCUGUGUCCGCGACACGAAGAGACGCGAAACCCGCACCGCUCGUGUUAGGCUGAUGUAAAUGCAGUCGCUCUUCUUGUGGUCAUAACGCUGUAGCUCUGGGCUGUUUCUGUGUCAUAUGUCGAUAAUGCUGCAAUGACCUGCAGGUCAGGACAGGGUGUUCAUCAAAGAUGGAGGUUACUAUGAGGGCAAGUGUGUCAAUGGAGAAAUUAUGGGGAAUGGAUUUCAACACUGGGCAUCCACAGCCUGUGGAAGUUCUGGAGAAAAGCAUGUUGGAGAAGAUAUUUCUGUGGAGAGGACCACAGUGGAACAGAUACUAACACUGCAGCCCAUGAAGGACCUCAUGCCAGAGCAGCUGUGAGCAGUCAUCAUUUGGAGAUCUGGGCUGGCACUGGAAACCACGAAGCCCCAUCAAGUUCUGCUACCAACUUAUUUGAGUUGAUUGAAGAAACUGAGAGGAAAACGGUUAACUUCUGUGAAUUCUGGAUUUCACUGUCUGAUUCACCAGUCCCUAAGGGACAUAGAGCCAGAACCUGGAACUGACACCAAGAUGGACAUGGAGAUGCUUCAGGCAGUCAGCAUGAUCUCGCAUGACAUCCAAAGAAUGCAAGCUACAAAAGGAUCAGCACCUCAAGGAAUUCUAAGGCAUUGCAAGAGACAGCUUCCUUGGUUAGACAAAUCCAAACAUGGAAAUCAACUUUUUGCAAGCAUCAGGAUAAGUGCUAAUAUCUUGGAGCGAGGAUGUGAAAACAAAUGACUUGUAACCCAGCAAAACUUUUGCCAUACAAAUUGAAUUCCAGAUAGCAAAUUAGGAUGUCACUGUCAUCUCUGUAAGCAAACUACUGACAAUUUCACCCAGGCAGAGGGAGAAAAGCAGCAGUGAGUUGAGACACCUCGCUGCAGUGCUGGACUUUCCCUGUGAAGCAGCACACAUCGCUUCCAAUGGAAUUCCAUUCUCCUUUACCGUAUCAUCAUGUGCAGACCUGAAACUGGCUCUGUUUAAAUGAUGCCUUCAAGAGGAUUAUACCAGGCUGUGUGGGGAAGAGUAUGAACAAGGUGCUGUCUUGACUCAGCUGCAGGUGGUUGGUGCACCUUGGCACAUUGAAGAUGGAAACUAACGAGCAGAUGAAAGGCGAAGCUGGGACUUUACAGUUCCGGCCCUCCCGGGCUGGAGUGUGCAUGGAAUGCGGCGGGACCCGGAGUGAGCCCAAGGACAAGCCCAGCCCUUCCCCGCCAGCGGGUGCUCCCUGAAACUACACACACAACUGCCCACCUCCAGCCUGCCCAAAGGGGGGCACUGAAGGUUCCCACCAUCUGACAGCCUGUUGCUAGAGGUCACCAAAGUGUCAGCGUUGCCUCUAGAAGAUGCUGAGAGUUAAAACGAGCUGGAAGGCACAUCUGCAGCCCCAGAUCAAUUUGUUCACGUUCCACUGAUGAGCUCGAAUGUGACAGGUGAGUGUUUAGGGGUGAAAAGAACUUUUCUCUUGUUCAGUAAAGCACCAACGUUCUUUGUUCAGCUCUUCUGGGAGCGUCUCAGCGGGACCCAAACCCCGCUGGGGAAGUCAUGUGGGCAGGAUUCCACCCCAAGGGAUGCUCCUGUGGGUGAUGGUGCGAGGUGGCAGCUGGUGGAAAACUGGGCUGAUGAUUCCCACGCCUGCCCAGUGGGGCAGAACCUGGGCUGCUCAGCUUGUAAACUUGAGAAAUGUGGAAUAAAAUGCAGAGUAAGAUCCUGACAAAGUGCAGUUUAACUAAAAACCAACUGAAAACCGACCACCACCACCCCCCCGUGAGCCACAGUGCCUGCAGCCUGCACCUGGGCCCUGGGGCUGCGGCUGGGAUCCCAAAAUUAAAGUAAUUUCUCUUUAAAAACAAAAAAGUUUUGUUUUUUCAAUGAUGUUGGCUUAUUCACAGCAGCAAACAUGUUUUCUUGUCUGUAGUAUCCGAUAAUGCAAUGUUGCACUCCCCUUGGGCACAGAACUCUGGACUGACAGUUCAUAGUAAAAAGCAGCUGAAGUGCUCUUGGAUGAAGUGAGUCCUUUGAACACACCGAGUAGUGAGGAUGUCUUUAGAAACGAUGGUGUGAUGUCAAACACUGAAGUCUGUAAGGCUGGGCUUGUAAGUAUAGCGCGUACUCUUCUCAUCCCCCUCCCUCUUUCCAGUCCUGCAUCUCCCUUGCUUCUUGUGUUCAGGACAGGAAAUGAAGAGAAUUCUUUCUAAGUUAAAAAUCAAAGCACUCCGAAAUUGUCAUAUACCCGUGACGGGAUUAAACUGAUGGCUUCCGAGGUGGCUGGAAAACUGCUAAUGAAAUGGCAUCAUCACCAGAGGGCUUCUGCACUGAGAAUCCCCAGACCUAGAACAAGUCAUUAAAAAUUGUGCAUCGAA